This 1694-nucleotide long non-coding RNA is filed under the name Pongo abelii (Sumatran orangutan). Its description in RNAcentral is "lincRNA". The record is from RNAcentral. Lineage: Eukaryota; Metazoa; Chordata; Mammalia; Primates; Hominidae.
GUUAUGCUGUACAAUUGGAAGCAUUGUACUGAUCUCUUCCUACCACACUGAAUAUCGCAUGAUAUCCUGAAAGUGAUCUAGAUGAAGUUGUGCCAACAACCUGACCUGCCGUACCCCACGCUUCCCAGUGCAGCAGAGCCCUGACCUCACUCUCACAUGCCUUAUGUCCCUGGAAUCAGGUAACAGCCACUGCCAGGCAGUCAUCGCAGAGAAAACAAGGAAAACACCACGUGGAUUCCCUCGGGAUGAGAUCAGGUGCACACUGCCUGCUCAAUGGGUCCACCACCCACCACAGACUCCAGCCCAGUGUCGCAGCCGGCGGGGCGGCACCCACCGUUCUCCCACUCCAGACCCGAUUUCACAUCCACAUGGAGCCUCGGUCAGGCGGUCUUCGGUCCCAUAAAGCCUAUGCAUGUAUUUUCCUCAGAGAGCCCACGGAGGAGAGAGAGGUGGCUAAAACAAGAAAAGAUCUGUGGAUGACUGCGUCUCCCGGGCAAAAGACCACUCUGAUAGCUUCCAUGAGAGCUCCCUGGGGCAUCCAUGGAGAAGAUAUUUUUGAGGGAGAAAUCCCCAAUGCUUCUUGAAUCUUGCAGCCCACACAGGGAUUUCCUACAAGCAAACCCAGCCUUGAGCUAUAAAGAUCUGAUCACUUUCCUGGGUGAAGACAGCAGACUGACUCAGUUAUUCUGUGGAUAGGUGACUUGAUCAAUGAGUUGGUGAGAGUUCUAAGAUGUGUCUUUCAGGCACAUCUCAGAUUUGUAAAAUUAUUAUUUAUUUAUUUAAUUAAUUUAUUUUUUUUGAGAUGGAGACUCACUCUGUCACCCAGGCUGGAGUGCAGUGGCACAAUCUUGGCUCACUGCAACCUCCACCUCCCAGGUUCAAAUGAUUCUCCUGUCUCAGCCUCCUGAGUAGCUGGGAUUACAGGCACCUGCCACCAUGCCCGGCUAAUCUUUGUAUUUUUACUAGAGACAGGGUUUCACCAUAUUGGCUGGGCUGGUCUCCAACUCCUGACCUCAGGUGAUCCACCUGCCUCAGCCUCCCAAAUUGCUGGGAUUACAGGCAUGAACCACUGUGCCUGGCCUCAGAUUUGUAAGAUAAUUUAAACAAGACUCAGUGUCUCUGCAUCUCACAUUGGUUGUAUAUUGCAUUAAAAUGGUGAUAAUUCUCCCCUAAUCAAACUGUGCCCAUAUACUGGCAAGGACAUUAAUGUUAUGAAGACAAGAAGUAGCUGAAAAAUAAAGAGACAAUAGCCACGAGACAGACCCAGAGGUCAGGUAGGGCAGGGUUGCCGUGAGGACACGGCUCAUCCCACAGGGCCUGGGAACUUGUGGUCACAGCAGUGCAAGGUCCUGUUCUCUCCUCCACAGGGACAGACAGGCCACCAGCCUGACAGAGACGGCAUUAGGGGGCAGCUGCCAGGAACAAGCAGGGAUUGCACUAGACUUUAUAGCGCCACAGUUCGGAUUUGCUGGAUUUGGAGACAAAAUCCAGGUUUGAAUUGUGAUUCUAUUUCUUACCGCCCCGCGGCCUGGGGCAGCCAGGUCAGCUCUCUGAGCCCCGUGGUCUCCAUUGCUGAAUGAGAAUGCCCACCUCCACUCAGAACCAGCCAGUGUGGUGCCAGCAACCCACCUAACACAGGCAAAGAGGAUUUCUUAAUGAAAACAUUUUGUCUUGCACAAAACAAUACUCAAUUU